Molecule: long non-coding RNA, 683 nt
Organism: Mauremys mutica (yellowpond turtle)
Lineage: Eukaryota; Metazoa; Chordata; Testudines; Geoemydidae
Exons: 3
Source: RefSeq, a predicted model, not a curated record
CGGCCCAAGCAGAGAGGGCCCCUUCUGAGCCUGGGCCUGGUGCCAUGGCGCCACAGGCGCCAUUGUAAACCCUGCACUGUGACAGUGCAUGCUGCCUGGGAACCUCUGCACACGUAGCCUCAGGGAAGGCAGAGGAGGCCUCAGAGCAAGGGACAAGAGCAGAGUGGGGACCAAGUGGCUUGCCUGCAGGGAGGGAAGAGCGGCAGAGCUCCCAGCUCAGCAUGUCUGGGUGAGGGAUGACUCCCAACAUCCCAGUGGCUAGGAGCCACAUCCUGCCUGCCAGCUUUGCUCCCUGCUGUGGGCAAGCUCUGCACAGUAACAAAGAGGAGCCAGAACCAGAGCUACCACGAGAGGAGCAGGAACAGGGAGUGUGCUUGGCCAGGCAGUAAUAGCUCUUCAGGUUGCUGUGAAAUACCUAGGUGGGGCUCCUGCACCCAAGGCUGCACUGUGCACAUGGCAGUCGAGGGCGCCAAAGCAAGACUUCAAGAAGGACACCUGCAAUUCAAUCAAUAGUUUGUCAGAGACAGCAGAGGACUGAGAGCAGCUGGGUAGCAGAUCAGAUAUGGUACUUCUGGGUAGGAGUGGCAGAUCGUCCUACUCUGGCCAGUGAUCCUUGGAUGUGGCUGGAAACAUGUUUGGACCUUCCUGGGAGUGGAAUUAAUUCCUUUCAGCCCAGACCCCCU